GCUUGCUCCGUGCCAGCAGCCGCGGUAAUACGGAGGGUGCGAGCGUUAAUCGGAAUUACUGGGCGUAAAGCGCGCGUAGGCGGCGUGAUAAGCCGGUUGUGAAAGCCCCGGGCUCAACCUGGGAACGGCAUCCGGAACUGUCAGGCUAGAGUGCAGGAGAGGAAGGUAGAAUUCCCGGUGUAGCGGUGAAAUGCGUAGAGAUCGGGAGGAAUACCAGUGGCGAAGGCGGCCUUCUGGACUGACACUGACGCUGAGGUGCGAAAGCGUGGGUAGCAAACAGGAUUAGAUACCCUGGUAGUCCACGCCGUAAACGAUGUCGACUAGCCGUUGGGGUCCUUGAGACCUUUGUGGCGCAGUUAACGCGAUAAGUCGACCGCCUGGGGAGUACGGCCGCAAGGUUAAAACUCAAAUGAAUUGACGGGGGCCCGCACAAGCGGUGGAGCAUGUGGUUUAAUUCGAUGCAACGCGAAGAACCUUACCUACCCUUGACAUCGUGCGAACUUUCCAGAGAUGGAUUGGUGCCUUCGGGAGCGCACAGACAGGUGCUGCAUGGCUGUCGUCAGCUCGUGUUGUGAAAUGUUGGGUUAAGUCCCGUAACGAGCGCAACCCUUGUCCCUAUUUGCCAGCGAUUCGGUCGGGAACUCUAGGGAGACUGCCGGUGACAAACCGGAGGAAGGUGGGGACGACGUCAAGUCAUCAUGGCCCUUACGGGUAGGGCUACACACGUGCUACAAUGGCCGGUACAAAGGGUUGCGAAUCCGCGAGGUGGAGCUAAUCCCGGAAAGCCGGUCUCAGUCCGGAUCGGAGUCUGCAACUCGACUCCGUGAAGUCGGA
RNAcentral lists this ribosomal RNA (834 nucleotides) under Halomonas ventosae. Its description in RNAcentral is "bacterial SSU rRNA". It matches the Rfam family "Bacterial small subunit ribosomal RNA", at positions 496 to 1330 of the family's 1533-position model. Lineage: Bacteria; Pseudomonadati; Pseudomonadota; Gammaproteobacteria; Oceanospirillales; Halomonadaceae. The record is from RNAcentral.